AGACCGCCAUGGUGACUUGCAAGCAACUCACUGUACUUAGGCACUGGACUACCUGAAUUUCUAAUUCAGUGACGGAAGGCUGCUGGGUGUAGUCAAGUACUUGACUUAUCGGUGCGUGUGUCAAGAUGGGAUUGACCACUCCAGUUCAGGAGCUGUGUAUAGUCGUGUUUCAAUUUAGCAAAACCUUCGUCAGGGUAGUCCU
Molecule: long non-coding RNA, 202 nt
Filed under: Elaeis guineensis (African oil palm)
Lineage: Eukaryota; Viridiplantae; Streptophyta; Magnoliopsida; Arecales; Arecaceae
Description: long non-coding RNA (EGUI_LNC077400)
Source: RNAcentral